UGAUUCUCGAAGCGGCGACCGUUGCUCUGGUUAUUAUUGGGGCAUAAUCCGGCCCCUCUAGCAAACCCAUCGACCGUUCCAAUAAUACCUCCGGCAACUCCUCCGGUAACUCCUCCGAUAAGCUUAUCAAGCAUUUUUCUUUAUAUAUAUAUAUUCUUGUUUAGUUUUCUUUGAUAUGGAUGAGUGAUUACAAACUUUCAGGGUGUUUCUCUAUAUAUACAGAAUUCCUGUAGUACUAUAAUCUAGUGUUCAUUAGAGAGUUAGUGUUUGAUAUGAUUCCCUUUGGAUAUCAUUCGUAAUUUCAUGGUAUGAUCAUAUGAAUCUUAUUCUUUUUUCUACCACCACCAUACCGAAAGUUGAAUAGACAUGUUUGUUCUAAUUCCGUUCGUCUUUUUAAUUAGAGAUCAGUCCCAUUCACAUAGGAAAUUCCAAUUUCAAAUUGGCUGAAUAUUGGUGGAAGCGUAAUAAUGGAACUAGAAAUUAAACCUAGUCUAGUUCUAUUUAUUACGGAUUUUAAUUUCUGAUUUUAUAAUUCUUUUGAGUAGCGUUGUGUAACUUAGUUUUUUUUUUUUGUUCUAUGUACUUUCCCAAAAGCUAGGUAACAUGAGUAACGCGGCCGUGUUAGGCUAUAUAUGGAGAACACUUGCUUAUGAAUGGUCUGGCGGACUUAAAGAUCCAACUGACGAGAACAGAUGAUGACCCAACUGCACGACGAGAUACUAUGCCGUUUUCAAACUAUAGACACAAAAUUUAUUAACGAAAAAAAAAAAAAAAGAACUCUCAAGGUUACUCUCAAAGCAUCAACUGAAUCAUGAAGAGC
RNAcentral lists this long non-coding RNA (820 nucleotides) under Arabidopsis lyrata. Its description in RNAcentral is "long non-coding RNA (ALYR_LNC002814)". The record is from RNAcentral. Lineage: Eukaryota; Viridiplantae; Streptophyta; Magnoliopsida; Brassicales; Brassicaceae.